GAGGACCGGAUUCGUCGACGCAGGGUCUGAGCAUGCGCUGCAUCAGGCCUAUCUACUGCUACCUCCGGCUGUCUGCCCUGCUGGCUUCAUCGGACAAAACAAGUCGCAGGAAGCUGUACCACGUGCACUGCACUGGGACCACCUGACCAGCACGGUGACGUCGACGGAGACAUCGUGGCACCCGGAUAAAAGCAGCAGCCUUUUCGACAUUCCCUUCAGUGGACUUGGAAGCACCGAAUGAGCACGGAUGCUGAUCAAAUUUUUUCUGAUCGCACAGAGUUCAUCACUUGUGCAUGUGCAACACAUUGGCGGAGGCAAUACGAACUGCAUUUCUCACUAGCUGGACAAGUCGGAAUGGCAAUGCACCUUGGAGAACAAUACUCGAAUUGUGAAAGUCUGGUGGUUUCACAGAACUUUGUUUUAUGUCAAGAUGGGCUGACACCAUGUCACCUGAUGCUGUCACUCUCUGGUAAGCAUGUUAAAAAAAUAAAAACAAUCCAGUUUGAACA
RNAcentral lists this unclassified non-coding RNA (509 nucleotides) under Dermacentor andersoni. Its description in RNAcentral is "uncharacterized LOC126530588". Lineage: Eukaryota; Metazoa; Arthropoda; Arachnida; Ixodida; Ixodidae. The record is from RNAcentral.